This 99-nucleotide small RNA is filed under the name Arabidopsis thaliana (thale cress). RNAcentral's name for it is "ATSL080550". The record is from RNAcentral. Lineage: Eukaryota; Viridiplantae; Streptophyta; Magnoliopsida; Brassicales; Brassicaceae.
UAAUAUUAUUAUAUAAAGUACGGUUUUGAAAGUUAGUAACUCACGAGAUUACGACACGUGAUACGUCUAACGAGAAAAUGUUUACAUGUGUUAUUAAAC